UCGAGGGUGUGCAGUUGCGGUGGUGCCGAACCUAGCCUGGUGCGCUCUAACCGCGAAAGGGGAUUGGGGGAGAGGCUAGACACCGGCGCCCCUCUGAGCAGAGCUAAGGGAACAGACUAAGGGUUGUAGCGGCGAGGUCUAGGCGCGGCUAAAGAACGAGCGGCUAGAACGGUCUCAGACGGCGGACUUUGAAGACAUCGGGCAGCUCAAGCAGCGGUUGGCUCCCCGUGUGGCCUCGUUGGUCGGCGACGGCUCGGCUUCGAGGACCCGUCGGCAGCACGUGCAGAAGUAGCGGCAGCGUGUCCUGUGGGGGCAGCAGCAAAGCCAGUGGCGAUGGAGGCGGCGAGUUUCGGCGUAGGCGGGCGGGGAAGUGGGAGCGGCCUCCUAGCGGCCUCUCAGCGGCAGUGGCUAGGGGCUGGGCGGCGGCGAAGGGGACGAAGACUCUAACGAGCCUCGUACUGCUCAUCUUAAUAGUCCUUAACACUCACGCUGUUUGAAGUAGUUUGUAUGUCUAAAAUAUACUGCUCACUCACUAUGCUACAUCCCAAUGCUACGGAUAUGAGCUGUAAACGUAUACCAUAACUACCUGAAGUACCUCUAAAAUAAACGAAAAGACAACGUAAAACAAACAUACGAUCGAACUCGAUACGUCCAUACACAUAAUAAAUUCAUGACCUAGAUGCUACAUUAUGAUACUGUACACCAAAUAAAAAUAUAAUGUAGAACAUAACACACACGAUCGAUAACUAGAUCCCUGAUCGUGUUACUCGUGUCUCUGUAGCUUAGAAUAGUCCAAGCCCAGCAGUGUACAGCAACAAACCACGAACUAGCCAACCUCGCUCUUCUUCAGGCUGUGUAGUUGGCGCAACAGUUUGCGAAAGCGAAAGCCAGAUGCUCCCAUGCAUCUGUGUGAGGGGGAGAGAGUAACGAUACGUAGAGGAUCUAUCUAGAACGUACUCGCAUCCUUAAAAAAAAUUUAACGUACGAUGCAAAGGGUUGUCACCGUAGUUUCGGUCCAAAUACGCAUGUACUAUACGUGCUCAUCUUGUGUUUCUCAACACACGCCACUAGCAGUAUGAUGAAUGGUGGUUACAGAAUAAAACUAAGCCGCCAUAACAACCUACUUCGCCGGGUAUGGUUGGAAUGUACUAGUGCAAGUACUCUGGCCAAGGUGUCUGUUUGUAGGUUGAUUAAAACGUAUUUCCACCGACCACCCACAAACAAAGAGGAUGAAUUCAACUUAGCUUAAACUGACGCCGGAAUAUGCAGAGGUUGCAUAGAUAUUAAAAAAUAACAAGGUACGAUAAUAUAAUAGGUAGAACCUACAAAAUAUACGUAAUUGUACGAUAAAAUAUACUAAAAACCCUGAUUGGAUAAUUGGCUCUCGGGUCACGUUCAAAGACAAAAAAGGAACAGAAACUCAAAAUGUCUUUUCCUUAUGGUUUGCCUCAGGUUAACUGUUCGGUUAAAUGCCUCUAAAAAAUACCUGGUCUUCUUCUGGGGCUUCGUUAUCACAGCCCGGUCUUCUCAGGGCUCGGUUGGUGCUCCCACCUCCCGCGCGGGAUGGGGGAUCCGCGCGGGGGAGGAGCACCGACUGAGUCUCUGGGGGGGACUGCACUUUGGCUACGGUUUUUAAGGAUAUUUAUGUUUUGGGGCUUUUCUUUGGAUCUAGCCCUCAAGGCGGCGACGUUCGGAGGCAUCGGUGGUUUUUGGUUACCCCUGGGACAAGGCCGUGGGAUGGCUUCCCCCCCCCUAAGUAGUGACCACCGGUAGAAGUAGUAGGGCCACGAGAGGUACUGCUCCUCCCUCAUCAAGUGGGAGCCUGGACUCCCAUACAUGAUCAUUGAUACACAAACUAGAGAGAGAGAGACAAGAACUAUACUGUGCUAGAACUACAACCCCUUGCAUUAUUAAAGUUUUUUUUAAGGAUACAUGUGC
Molecule: ribosomal RNA, 1938 nt
Filed under: Triticum aestivum (bread wheat)
Lineage: Eukaryota; Viridiplantae; Streptophyta; Magnoliopsida; Poales; Poaceae
Description: partial small subunit ribosomal RNA
Source: RNAcentral